Molecule: ribosomal RNA, 790 nt
Filed under: Nonomuraea roseoviolacea
Lineage: Bacteria; Bacillati; Actinomycetota; Actinomycetes; Streptosporangiales; Streptosporangiaceae
Description: bacterial SSU rRNA
Rfam family: Bacterial small subunit ribosomal RNA
Source: RNAcentral
UAUCAGGAGGAACACCGGUGGCGAAGGCGGCUUGCUGGGCCUUACCUGACGCUGAGGAGCGAAAGCGUGGGGAGCGAAACAGGAUUAGAUACCCUGGUAGUCCACGCUGUAAACGUUGGGCGCUAGGUGUGGGACCCUUCCACGGGUUCCGUGCCGGAGCUAACGCAUUAAGCGCCCCGCCUGGGGAGUACGGCCGCACUGGCUAAAACUCAAAGGAAUUGACGGGGGCCCGCACAAAGCGGCGGAGCAUGUUGCUUAAUUCGACGCAACGCGAAGAACCUUACCAAGGUUUGACAUCACCCGGAAACGCUCAGAGAUGGGCGCCUCUUCGGACUGGGUGACAGGUGGUGCAUCGCAGUCGUCAGCUCGUGUCGUGAGAUGUUGGGUUAAGUCCCGCAACGAGCGCAACCCUUGCUCCAUGUUGCCAGCAGGCCCCUUUGGGGGUGCUGGGGACUCAUGGGGGACUGCCGGGGUCAACUCGGAGGAAGGUGGGGAUGACGUCAAGUCAUCAUGCCCCUUAUGUCUUGGGCUGCAAACAUGCUACAAUGGCCGGUACAGAGGGCUGCUAAGCCGUGAGGCGGAGCGAAUCCCUAAAAGCCGGUCUCAGUUCGGAUUGGGGUCUGCAACUCGACCCCAUGAAGUCGGAGUCGCUAGUAAUCGCAGAUCAGCAACGCUGCGGUGAAUACGUUCCCGGGCCUUGUACACACCGCCCGUCACGUCACGAAAGUCGGCAACACCCGAAGCCCGUGGCCCAACCCGCAAGGGGGGGAGCGGUCGAAGGUGGGGCUGG